CAGCCGCCGCGGUAAGACAGAGGAUGCAAGCGUUAUCCGGAAUUAUUGGGCGUAAAGCGCGCGUAGGCGGUUUUUUAAGUCUGAUGUGAAAGCCCACGGCUCAACCGUGGAGGGUCAUUGGAAACUGGAAAACUUGAGUGCAGAAGAGGGAAGUGGAAUUCCAUGUGUAGCGGUGAAAUGCGCAGAGAUAUGGAGGAACACCAGUGGCGAAGGCGACUUUCUGGUCUGUAACUGACGCUGAUGUGCGAAAGCGUGGGGAUCAAACAGGAUUAGAUACCCCUGUAGUCCCUGUCUCUUAUAC
Molecule: ribosomal RNA, 301 nt
Filed under: uncultured bacterium
Lineage: Bacteria
Description: partial 16S ribosomal RNA
Rfam family: Bacterial small subunit ribosomal RNA
Source: RNAcentral